Molecule: long non-coding RNA, 28103 nt
Filed under: Brachypodium distachyon (stiff brome)
Lineage: Eukaryota; Viridiplantae; Streptophyta; Magnoliopsida; Poales; Poaceae
Description: long non-coding RNA (BDIS_LNC003394)
Source: RNAcentral
AAACAAGGUUGCCACCAGUGACCAAACGCAACACACUUCAUAUAUGAGCUGUUGUUUCAACUUGCGGUUUAGGCCUUGCCGGACUCCUCGCAGCCAGGUGGCUUGAAAGCGAUGAAGCUGAUGCACUGUACUUGCCUGGUGUUGUCGAAGCCGAUGAUGCGGACAUAGGCGCCAGGGUAUUCCUUCUUGACCUCCUCCAACUCCUUGAGCACCUGCGUGGCGUCAGUGCACCCGAACAUGGGAAGCUUCCACAUUGUCCAGUACCUCCCGUCCUAGUACCCUGGGGAGUUGCCGUGCUCACGGAAGACGAAACCGACCUUGCUGAACUCGAGGCAAGGAACCCAUUUGGAGCGGAUGAGAUACUCGAUCUGCUUCAGGAGGGACUCCACGGUGAGAGGUGGCAGGUAGGAAAGGGUCUCGAACUUCUUGAUGCCCUCAAUUGGCCACACCUGCAAUUAGAUUAAAAUUAGCACACAAAGUGUGAUUUGAGACACAUAUCGAUGGAGUAUUUCACUUCACACAUAUCGGUAUGAUGAUAUACAUACCUGCAUGCUCGUGAUCCUGCCACCGUUGGAGACGCUGCCGAGGCCAGCGCCGGCAGAGCGGCGGCUGACGGGGAGCCCGGCGGUGGACUUGAGGCCCCGGAAAGGAGCAACAGCGGUAGCCGCCGCCGACAUCACUGUCGGACCCAUAGCAUCCACCCUUGUAUCACUAGAGUAUAUCUACUUAGCUAAUAUGCUAAGUUUGGCACGGAGAGAGGAGGUCGAGUGGACUUCAUUCCUGGUCACAAGGGUUUAUAUAUACCAUAUAACAUACGAGCAAUUUGUGAUUAAUUUGUUGUCGUUCUAGGAGAUGUGGAAAGGGUGGAUGCCGUUCGUUGGUUGCCUUAUCCGUUCUAGAGAAGGGAUGGAUGACCGACGCUCGCUCAGCCGUCUCCUUCGUCCAUCGUUGCCAAUCUUUCUAGCUAUAAUUGGAAGUUCCAAAGGAACAUACGGUUUCAUGCCUACUUCCAUCGGCCUAUCAUGUACCAAUCCAAUAAAAGGACAUCGUUCAACCAUCAAUCCAUGUGUGUGUAGUAAGUGAUUGGCUACGAACCUUCAGCUGACUUGCUUUAUUGGAUAUUUCUGUAAAGCGAGUCCACGGUGUGUGGGUUUAAAAUCUCGUGGCGGCAACUGUUGACGGGUGCAAAUAUCAGUAGCCUUAAAACAAUAAACUUUACUCCGUCCCUUCCGAAAUGCAAGAAUGUCCUAAGUCAAACUUCUUAUGCUGCAGGACCAUAGUUUUUGAGGUGUUCUUCUCACGAGUCCACGAAGAACGGGAAUUUUUUGGUGUCGGGUAAGGGCGGGGGAAUAUAUAGAUGCUAGCAUCAGCAUGACGGGCUAACGGGUCAGGUAGGAUUUUGGACGACGUAGCACCUGACAUGUGGGGGCCACAUGUAAGAAAACCUGUCAAAAUGUCAUAACCCUCUGUUUUGGUCAACUUGAUACAAUCUGAUACAAAACGUGUGGUUUUCCUGACAAAUUAGCAAAUUUUGUGUCUCUGUGAGAAGCACGCCCCAAAAACUGUGGUUCCGUGAAAUUUAUUCACUAGUUACACUUUAUCUACAAACAUCUACGAUUCUAAAAUAGUUUGGUAUAUAUUUUCCGUAAUAUAAUUAUUUGAUAUUCUAAAUUCGGGGAUUUGUUCUUAUAAACUUGGUCGAAGUUUAAAAAGUUUGACUUCGGACAAAGUUACGACUUUUUACAUUUAGGAAUGAAGGGAAUACAUUUUAGUAAAGCAAUUGAGGAAUUGACAGAAUUAAAUAUCUUAAAUUAUACUGGUCCAUCGUGUACUCAUGGCAACAAAAUAAAUUUAUAGUCGAAAAGUUGGACCAUGAAAACUUAAAACGUGAUACAUUAAAAUUGUUGAAUCACUCUACAUCUUGUAAUUUUCUCUUGCAACCUUCUGGCGCGCUACUCAUUCCACAUUUGGUACUAUAUGUAUAAAUGUAUAUAUAUACCGCAUUAGGAGCCUCUAUUACUGUUUUAGUAUAAAUAGCAGUUUCCAUCGACUAUGCACUUCAUUAACUUUUUCUUCACGAGAUAACUUGCUUAUCGAUUUUCUUUAAUUAUCCAGAUGGCUUCUACUAGUUUGUUUCCUUGCUUACUGGGAUUUCCGCAGACUUUACGGUUAGGUAUUAUUGUCGUGUGGACAACACGGUGGCCGGAUGUUGAGAUGAUGAUGUCCUUUAUCUCCGUGUUGCUUCUGAGGACUGCGGAUCCGAGGCUAGUGGCGGUAUGGGAUGCCUCUCUACCUCUUGAUCAGGUCAAUCCGGCUCAGCAAGAGGCGGAUCGAUGGUGGCCGGUGUGACUAGAAGCGGGGAGGUAUAUAUGAAACGUUUCUUGCUUCCAGCAUCUCUUCUAGCGGUAUAUAUGUCGUCAGCUGGUUGAGGGAUUGAUGGCAAUCGAUCAUGGCUACGAUGACAUGUAUACGCGCCGGUAGGAACACAUAUCAGGCAAUGUCGAUGCACCUGCAUUGGGCCCUUGCUGAAGGUGGUGGUGCGUAUGGCAGUCUAAAGAUUUAAGACACAAAUUUAGACUUAAAACUUAAAUAAUCAAUUUGUGCCAGCGGGAAACACACAAACACGUACCGGUAAAUUAUCAUAAUCAGAAUUUGUCGACGAAUUUGAUAUUCUUUUACAAAAUAUACUUAUCUUAAUAUGUAUAACCGGAGUUUAUAUUACAUGCCCCUCUCCCAACGAUAGUUGUAGUACUCUUAUAAUAGUAGUACUCAUGAAUACAGUUAAUCCGGGUUGUUGGGAGAGAUCACAUGCAUAAAUACAACAUGAAACAAACGUGUGAAAAAGGUACAUAAAAUCGGUGUGACCCGUUCUUGUAUUAUAAGAAAUCAACUUGCUUAGGCCUUGCCGGACUCCUCACAACCCGGUGGCUUGAAGGCGAUGAAGCUGAUGCACUGCACUUGCCUGGUGUUGUCGAAGCCGAUGAUGCGGACAUAGGCGUCAGGGUACUCCUUCUUCACCUCCUCCAGCUCCUUUAGCACCUGCGUGGCGUCGGUGCACCCGAACAUGGGAAGCUUCCACAUUGUCCAGUACCUGCCGUCGUAGUACCCGGGAGAGUUGCCGUGCUCACGGAAGACGAAACCGACCUUGCUGAACUCGAGGCAAGGAACCCACUUGGAGCGGAUGAGAUACUCGAUCUGCUUCAAGAGGGACUCCACGGUGAGAGGCGGCAGGUAGGAAAGGGUUUCGAACUUCUUGAUGCCCUCAAUUGGCCACACCUACAAUUAGAUUAAUAAUUAGCACCGAAAGUAUAAUUUGAGACACAUAUCAGUAUUUCACUUCAACAUAUGUACAUGAUGACAUACAUACCUGCAUGCACCUGAUCCUUCCACCGUUGGAGACGCUGCCGAGACCAGCGCUGGCUGAGCGGCGGCCGAUGGGGAGCCCGGCGGUGGACUUGAGGCCCUGGAAAGGAGCAACGGCAGUAGCCGCUGACGACAUCACUGUGGGAGCCAUCGUACACGUACGUAGAUAGCUAACAAGAGGAGGCAGGCUUGCUUGAGUGCUCUCUAGCUACAGCGGCUUAUAUAACUGUAGGCUCCCCACCCAUCCAAUAUCAGCACAAGAUCUAGGAGGGGUGGCUGCAGUUCGCCGCGCGGAUUUGCCCAGGCCACGCUGGCAUCCUACGGAUCAGGUCGGGCGCCACAUGGCCGCACGAAAUGGCGCGCGUUAUCCUCUGGACGGAUACAAUUGGCUGCAACGCACUCUGCAAAUCAUGCCAUGAAGUGACCAAUUUUCACCUAUCAGGAUAGAUCCAAUGUGCCACGGCAUGCACUCAAAAACAGAACUUGCUAAUCCCUCCAAUCCAUAAAAAAUCUCGCCCACUUAUUAGAAAAUUUGUAAUGAGUUAAUGCAAAAUGAGCAGCACUUUUUAUGAACUAGAGGAACAACAAAUUAAGAGAAACUCUUCUAAGAUCUUAUCGAGAACGAAGCUUGCCCCCGCGUCGCUCAGUCUGGGGCGACACGGGCGGCAACCACACCAGCCCCGGCAGCAGCCUCUCCCCGUCCUCUCCUCCCCCUCGCCGCCGCCGGGCAAAGCCCGCACGGGGACGGCGGCGGCGGGGCUGUUUUUCUUGGCGGGGGUGUCCUAGAGCUCUUGGCUGAGGCGUUUGAGGUGCUGCCUCAUCGUGGUCGCGGCGUCUCCGGCCCGAUCCGGCAGGCUAUGCCUCGUCUUCGGCUAGAUCCGGCCGGCUUCCUCCCGGAUCCGGUGUUUCCCCUCGUUCUUCCUCUCCCUGGUGCUCGGUCUGCUCGUGGCUGCGCGGCUUCACGGCGGCGCUCUUCGGCCGGAUCUAGCUACUCGUUGGCCAGAUCCGUCAUCUCCUCCGGCUGAUCCGGCAUGUCCCAGGUCUCUUCGUUUCCAUCAUUUUUCCUCUCAGUUUGGUGAGGCGGCUGAUUGAACUUCACCGGCGGCAGAUGGGCUGCUGCUGCGGCCAUACAUGGUCCAAGUCGGUCCUUUUCGAUGCCAUGGUGGCGUGGUUUUCAUUUUCGGUCGCGUCUUCGGCUGCUGCCCGUGUGCGAGGUAUGGACGUCGGCUCCGGUGUUUGGAGUGUUGCUCUGGAUGAAAACUGCCCGUGUGCGAGGUAUGCCGAAGACAACGAUGUUGUAGCGCCGUUUUCCUUCUUGGAGGUGUCGUCGAAGAGCUUCACUUUCCCUCACUUUGAUGUUUGGUGUCUUCGGGUGAAAACCUAAGAUUUGGCUAUGGCCAGAUCGGGCGACAACGGCGUUUUUACGUCGAUUUCCUCCUUGGGGGCGUUGUCAUGGAGACAACGACUCUUGGUGGCAUCGGGUGGUGUGGUCCGUCUAUGGUGGAGCUUGUUGUCUCGAGUUGUUGAAGGUUUGGUGGUGUCUCUUCUUGUGUCAUGUGUUAGCUUAGGCUGUCGGUUUGUGUCCGGCGAGAACGUGCGUUUCUUAUCCUUUGGUGCGGUUUCGGCAUGUGAUGCCUUUCGUCUUCACUAUCGUCACGUAGGUGUCGUGUUGUAUUCUCGGUGGUGUGUGGUCUUUCGGCUUAGCCAACGGCAAGUGGAGGUAUGAUCUCGGUUGUGUAUUGCCCUUCGACUUCAUCGGCGGCACAUCGGCGUCGCGGUGGGUCUCAGUGACGCGCAGCCCUUCGACUCUGCCGGCUACGUAGGUGUCAUGGUGCGGCCUUGACCCUGUGCUUCCCUUCAGCUACGGCGACGACAUAGUGUCUGGGUGGGCUCGUCAGAUCGACGCCUUUCGACUACAUCAACUAUGCUCUUCAUUGUGCAUUUAUUUUGCCAUUGACAUGUUUCAAGAGUCUAGGUUUUUUCCUUGUGUUUCUUUUAGCAAAUGCUGUUCUGCAGGCUGGCUUUUGCCCACCCGAUCAGAAAAGAAAAACAAAUUAAAGGCUAAAAUCAAGCGAUGUUAUAUUCCCUUAGCUAUUACAAAUAUGGAUGAUAAGAGUUAUUUAUCCUUUUUCAACGAGUAACCCUUUACUUGGAAGUUCCAUGUGCAUGGCGCUGCAAGAAAACAAACAUCAUAAUGGGGCAAGACUUUUUUUUUUAUAAACAUCCAAUUUGGGUUAAAGUCUGAAAGAAUUUGGCUAUCUGAACUUUCAGUUUCCACAUUCUUUUACCUACUCAAUUCUUCAGCCAACAGGAUCAAUGGCGACCUACUAACACCAACCAGAACACAUGGGUCACAAACACGAAAAAGGGCUAGAAGGCUACUUAUACACACUCAUGUGUACUGCGAGCAAAAGAACAUAAUGUACAAAACUUUACAAAAUCUAGGGAAUUAAGACCUUCCCGUAUGCUGUUGCUGCCGCUGCUGCUUCAUGCUGGCUCUCCUGGCAACAUCCCAUGGUUUGUGAGGCACACCUACACCUUGCUGGGAUGCGAAGAACGACUCGUAUCCCGGGGAGUCGAAAGCAAAACCAGUGUGCUUGGAGUUCUCUCGAGGGAGCAUGGAGAUCGCAUAGCUUCUUGCUUCUUCUGGGCUCAAAUGGCUCCUCUCAGGCAGAUGUAUCAUGCUGUAUUCGUGGGGGUCAUCCUUGUGCAUCUCCUGGAUUACUUGGUAGUCAUAGGGAAAGAGCCAUCUUUGGAGCCUGAGAAAGCACACAGCAUCAAAGACAACAAUUGAUUCAGCUACUUCAGUAUGUACAAUGGAAGGAAUAACAAACGGAUGGCAUUAACAAACAUAUAAUUUUGCAAAAGAGCUGGUAUCUUACGAUAGAUACAGGAAAUCACCAAAGAGAGCGAUGACUGGAGCAAGCAUUAGUGUGAGGUAGAAGAAAAAGGUACUCAUCAGAACAUAAAUCACAAAAUAUACAUUUUCCUGCACAAGGUACACAGCAUUAAGUCAAUGCAUUUGUAGCAAGUAAUCGUCAUCAGCAGUGUAAUAGCUACAUUAUUCACCCACCUGUCGGUCAAAUGAUGUCAUUAUCGCAGAAUAUAUGAAGAUAAACAGAAACCAGGCCGCUAUACUGCCAGCUACGCUGAAAUAAUGCCAUCUCGUGAUAGAAUUGCACGACAUGAGGAGACGUAGAUUAACAGUCACCACAACACAAGUAAAGGCCAUCGUGCUAACAUCCCAUUGACCAAGAAUCUUGCCAGAUGAACCGUGACCAUGCUGACUUGCAGCUGCAGUAAAGUAAUAGAACACUAUUGACUGGUAGAAGGCAAAGAAACCCCACACCGCAAUCACUUUCCACCGGAAGAAUGUGUUCCUAAUUCCUUCUUGGUAAAGUUGUGGGUAUUUUUUUGAUAGAGAUGCACUCACAUCCUGAAAGGGUUCAGUUUAGUGAAUGUAGCAAGGAGCGUCACUCCAGAACAAGAAAAGUAGAACAAAUACAAGCAACCAUACCUUAUCAAACAACCCAACCAUAAUUACAGGUAGUGCCGUGAAAAUGACAUUAUACAGAGACUGGAACCAGUCAUCAUAAAAUCGCUGACCAGAAAAGCCAGUUUGGAAAGUGAACCAGAACUGAGUUAGUGUAAAAGUCAGAUUCUUGUAGAAGAAGUAUGUGAUAACCUGAAACAGAAAGUGUCAAUGUUAAAAAAAUUAAACUACACAGAUUGGCAGCUACAAGCUAAGGGACCAAAGCAUACCUUGCACAAUCUCAAGUAUGACCACCGCCCAUGUACAAGAAGUAAAUCCGUAAGAUAUCGAAACUGAGCAAUGGCAAAAUCACUCGCCAUAACAGCUUGCAUUCCUUCUUGUCCGCUGAUGCCAAUACCAACAUGAGCAGCUUGAAUCAUACUCACAUCAUUAGCACCAUCACCAAUACUGAGAGUUAUCUUACGUGCACCUUUCCUAACUAAACUUGCAACCUACAAAUGUGUCAACAUUACAUGUUUUGGCAUCAUUCGAACCCAACAGGUUAUUAGGAAAUAAAUCCAAAAAUAAGAGACUUUGAGAUUGCUGAUGGGAUGGGUAACAACCAAAUAAGCACAUAUACAAUAAGUUAAUUAAUACUACCUUUGUUUCAAAAUAUUAUACCAAAACGUCUUAUAUUUUGAAACAGAGAUAGUACUUAUAGUACAAGAGUGUACAGGACAUUUAGUUAAGAGGCCAAAACUAGAAUAGCAAAAGCAACCAAUGCACAGUGGUUAAUAAUGAUCUUGUGAAUCAUGCACAAACUAUUUUGUUGUCAAGGUACAAAAUUGGAUCCUUUAAAAUGUAAUAAUAUCAAUAUCCCCCGUUUAUUGCCCAAGCAUCCUGAAAGGCAUGCAGCUGAGAGCUGCAGACCAUACUGCUAAUUAUUUCAUGGGAAAAGGCAAGGCAUGCAUGAUAAGAACGCUAAAAGCGAGAAUUGAUAUUUACCUGUGCCUUUUGCAGUGGAGAAACUCGACAACAUACAACUGAUUGGCAAAUUAAACUCAAACCAAGAAGAUUCACACGCAGAGCUGGGUCUAGAGCGUACAUCAAGCAUCGUCCAUCAAUAAUGAAAGCCAACUUUCGUCCUGGCGUGCUCCUCAAAGAACGGUGGGCUUCCUCAAGGUAACUUCUCAGACUCUGUUUUACCGAGUCUUUGAUAACACGUGCAAUUUCCACAGGGUCUCCCUGAAAAUGACUGGAACAUUAUUCAUGGCAAAGAUAUGUGCAUAAGUUGAUUUACAUCAAUCAGAUACAAAUGCUAAAUUGCUAAUUAUGGUUGAUCAAACUGCAAAACACACGAGAUAUCCAAAAGGCUAUAUAAACAUGAUGGAGAGGCUAAAGCACUGAAACAACAGAAUCAACAUAAAGUAUUUUGUACUAUUAUGCAACUAAGCCUUUUGUCCCAAGCAAGUUGGGGCAGGCUAGAUAUGAAACCCAAACAGAAACUAAAGCAAAGUGCAGGUAACAAAAGAGCAAGAGAGUAAAUCAAGGUUCAGGCACAUGGACUGCUGAUUUCCAUGCAGCCCUAUCAAAAGCAAAAUCUCUAGAUACAUUCCAGUCCUUCAAGUCCCUUUAACUGCCUCCUACCAAAAGCAAAUAUCAUAGUAAUCCACCAACCAAAGUAACAAGGGAACUACUUGUAACUUCUUAGUUCACAAGUACAUACCAGUUGAGCUAUCCAAUUAUUCUAAAUAAUAUGGUUUGAUACCUUUACCAAAGUCUCAACUUGUAUUCAUUUUAAAGCUUAUACAAGAUAUUAUAUGUUAUGGCUUAACAGUCUCCAUGACACAAUAUGGCUUGACUUCACAGUUUAAUUCUAUAGGAUUAUCUUACCCUGUCUUCAGCAUCUCUAAUUGCAUCUGUCUCAGAAGUGAUGAUGAAUUGUUUUGUAUCGUUAUUCACCAGGCUGCACGCUGCAGAGCAAAAACUAAAUAACUUCAGAAGCUUUUCUAUGUCAGGUGAAAGAGAGAGAAAAAGACCGCCCGCCCCCCACCAAUAAUCCAAAACUGAGCUUCUAUUAGACCCCUUAAGAACGAAACAAGCAUGCAAAUUGAUCUAUAUAUAAUUAAAACCUCACCAUAUGCUAUAUUAAUUGCUGUUUCCAUUUUAUCUCCAGUUAGCACCCAAAUUUUUAUGCCAGCUGCAGAAAGAGUUUCAAUGCAGGCUGGAACCCCUUCUUGCAGUUUGUCUUCUAUUGCAGUGCACCCUAUCAAUAUAAGGUCCUUUUCAAUCAACUCAGCCACCUACAGGGGAAGAAACAGAAGGAAAUUAUAUGGCAAUGUCCCAGCAAUAUCUUAAAUCAGAAUAUACAUUAAGUCUAUUACUUCAAAUUCCUUUUUCCUAGAAAUCACAGUGAACUUAGUACAUGAAAGAAUGAAAGGAUAAUGCUUUUCUAAUGGGGAUUUGAAAAAACAUCAUAAAAAUAAUAAUAUAAAGUACUGUAUGUUCUUGUUCUAGAUAAAUUACAAAUAUCUUUUGCUCAUGAUCCUCUUUCCUGACUAAAAAAUAUAUAUUAUUAUGUAAAAUACUAAUGUUCUAUGGCAGUACAAGAUAAUAAAUUAGCACAAAAAACUAUUAAACUGCAAAUGUCAGCUGUUAGGGAUGGAUGACAUGACUCCUGUAGUUUUGGGGGGAGAGAGAGAGGAGACACACUGAACAAAUUACUUCCUUCGUCUCCAAAGAUUGCCAUGCCACAUUCUAUUCGGUCAGUCAACCUUUUACAACUUCAAAAUUAACAAUUAUAAGUGAAUUGAAUUACUACAUGAAAAAUAACAGCACUCAAUUUGCUUGCAUAAUAAUUUGUACGCAAAACUUUUGCUUGUAUAUUAGCAUAGAAAUCAUAGCCAGAGUUUUAUGUUGGGAGAAUAUAAAAUUAAAAAAUGGCCUACAUUUGUCAGGUACAUUCAGUUAAUUGUUUCCAAAACCAAAUUAAUUUUCAUACAUAAAUACCAAACGGAUCAAUAGCAUGCUCAACAGUGCACAUGAGACUCGAGUUCAGUACUGGAUGACAGAAAGUAAAAAAAAUCAGGCAAGCACUAGAAGGUGGAGGGGAAGUAAUCGAAAUUCAAAUCACAGGGACUGUUCAGCCUGUAUACUCAACAGAAGAGGAUGGUACACAUACCUCAUCAAGCUUCUUAUCACGAUCUCGUAAAGAAGAUUUAGCUUGAACAAACUUCUCAUUCCAGCUUUCGUACUGCUCCCUGCUUAGAUCUCGAUAAGCAAGGCAAAGCGUGCGCAAGCCAGCAGAGCCAAAUUGUUCUAGAUGUUCUCUGCUUGUCUUUUUAAUGUCAUGAUUUCCAUCAGCUAACCGUUCAAAAAUGACAUUAUCAGCGCCCUGUUACACAACAUUUGUAUAAGGUUAGUGCAUCAAUCUACAAAGUGAUAGCUACAUAAAGAUUCUUUUUUCUUGUAUUACCUUGCAAUACAGAACAAGUUUUCCAUUUGGGAAACGGCAAACCACAGAUUGGCGCUUUCUUGUACUGUGAGUGCAGUAAAGUGUGAAGUGCAGAACAAUGAUUUCAUCUUGUCAAAUUUAAAUUGAAAACAGAUAAACCAGACCUGUUGAAUUCCAAAACAUUCAGAAUUUCAUAUGCAACAUCUUGUAUACUCCCCAUCCUCUCAACAUGUGAUUCCCGAACCAAGACUGUGGUUGGCGUACGUCUACAAGACAGGCACAAAAUGUCAACCACCGGCAUUGCCAUUCACAAUAAAAAUGCCACAUGAAAUAAUUUGCAACAAAAAUCAUAAGAACUUAGAUGAGUUCAUGUUCACAGCACUUGCUUUAACACUUGUCUUAAUUUACAACGGCAAUUUUUUGUUGAUGGGCUAAUAGUUUAUUUAUGCUUCUUAGUAUGUACAUUCAGUCCUUCAUACAACAAACUAUAUAAGCAAUAACCUGGGUGAGUGACUCUUUUAUGCACAUUUUCCUUGGGACCAUAGCAUAGUUUUUUAAGAUACCUUGUUUGCAACAAACUGAUAAGAGGAAUCUAUAACUGUAUUUAAAGGCAAGGUAAGACAUGCCUAUAAAAGAAGAAACCAAAAUUCUUCGCAGCAGCGACAAGCGCGGCCUCGUCGGGAGAGGCAGCUUGAUAAGUAAUCUUUUCCGGUGUCUCCUCACCCUCAGGAAGAACUGUAUGACAGAUUGCAAGGCAUCUGCAGAAUUGCUAUAGAGCAAAUAACAAAGUUGUUACACAACUAGCACAUUAACAAGGGAAAAUGUGAAAAAGGAAAAUAGGUUCCAAAUUUUAUUAGUAAGGGCAUAUAUCGUGAUAUGUGAAUAAUUUGUGUCAACUAAAUCAAAACUGAUUAUGACCAAAGGGGAACCAAUCGAACUAUUCCACAGGUAGUCCCGUAUUUACCACGCAAGCAUCAGGAUUAGGUUCAUUUCUCCAUGCACCACGCAUUAUUCUAGCAUCAUCAAAGUUGAAUCCUUUCUCAUGAACUGCAGUGGCUGAUCUUUUACCCUAAAAAAGGCAAGUAAACUGGAUAUUAAAUCAGUUGUGCAUUAAAUUUUUCAUCAUAUACCACCACACUUCAAUAGCGUAAACAACAAAGAAAAUGUUGUAGACCUCAUCAUCAUCAAUCUUGACUCCGGCUCGCUCGGCUCCUCCUUUUUCAAUCUCUGUGAUGCCAGUUCCAUAUAUUUCCCCUCCAAUCGAACAUUUAAAGAAUUCCAUCAAGUUUCUUGUAAGUGUUCCAGUUUUGUCAGAAAAUAUAUACUCAACCUGAACCAUUAGUGGGGCAAAAAAAAUUUGGCAGAAAUGUCAAAUUAUUUGCAAGUGUUAAGUGCAUUUUAGUACCACUCGGCAUUUGUUCAGUCAUAUAAGCAUUUCUGGGGAUCUAGAACAGUUUUUCGGUGGGAGUAAGUCACUUAAUAUUAGUGAAAUGAGACUGUUCCCCAAGUGCUUAUAAUUGAUCCCACUUUCUGGAAUGAGUCGGUGCAGUGAGGUCAUUCUAUCCAUUAACCAAACCCAGCCAUAUAGGUCAAAUAAGUAAAUAACCCCAUUUCAGCAACAAACAAAGGGGCUUUCAUCAAACUAAACAGAAUGCUAAGGAACAAAAAAAAAACUGAUAUUACCUGCCCAAGCUCCUCAUUCAGAUUAGAAGUCCGAGCCAAAGCUGGGGUGUUGCUCUCGGCAUGAUACAUAUUCAGAUCAUUGUUAAUAAACUUUGCACACUGAAUGAAUUUGAUCAUCUGCCAGCCAAAAUAAACAUAAGGUCCAAUCCAAAUACAGGGUACACUAAAUGAUAAAUUGGUCAAUAUACCUCAAUGGAUACAUAAAGAGAAAUGGGGAUGAUCGUUGAGUAUAGAGUUAUUAGAGUAAACAUAGUUAAAAUGGUCACCUGCAAAAGUACAAACCUAUGAUAUAAGGCCACUUAGAGAAUAUUCUCUACAAUAAAUUAACUAAAAUAAUAUAUACCACAAAUCUGUUCUUGGGAUUAAACUGGUCCUCGACACGCCCACGCAAUCCAAGAUAGAAGUAUUUCUCAUUAAUAAACACGCCACUGUUCACAAAAGCCAAGUAUGAUGAGUCCAUUGGUAGAGUUUUAGGUUUCUAAAGAACGUGCAAGCUAAGCAGUCAUAGUUACCAAAAUCUAUAUGCUGAACAGAGCACUUCCAUUUCUGACCAUCUAGAAAGUGCCCUAUUAUGUACCUCCCACAUAAAACCACUAAGAAAAAAGAUAAGGCUAUUAAGACCUAGUCAUGUGCUCAUCUAUACUGCUCCUAUGCCACAAUAAAAAAAUAACUUCCCCAAACAAGCUCCUGACAACUCAUGUCAUAAUGUUUAAAGUUUAUCUCUCUAUUAACAGUUGUUUUUUCAUGAUCAAUUAAAUUGUGAAAAAUGAUUGUGCAAGCAUAAGCCUCCACAACAUCAACCUAACCGAUAUAACUCAUGUUCAGAGAAUAUACAUGUAAACAAUAAUACAAGAUAGAUAAGUCAAAUAAAUGAAGUGGGCCAAAUAAAACACUGACCUUCCAAUAGCACCAAUGACACACAUCGUAAAGAGGGUUGCAAAUAGAGCAAGAAUAAGCUUGUCUAGUUUCUUCUCCAAUGUACUUCUUUUAGAGGGAACAUUCAUAGAAUUCAUCAUAACCUGCAAUAGUGUCCCACUGCAGUAAAUCUCAAAACUAGAAGCACAUCUAACCUACAAGUUGAAUAUAUAGGGACACAAAAUUGCACAUACUUUCGUCUCAUGGCCCGUGAAUAUAACAGCCGCGACAAUGUACUCUGUAUUACGAAGGCUGCAUCCCUGUGGCAAAGUGGUAAUAAGAGGUUGCAUGUGUGCCACAUAAAGAGAGAGAAUUAAGUGUCAUGCAAGACACCGUUCAGUCUGGUGAAAGUAAACAUUUCUUUUGCACUUUACAAACAUUGCUUCAACCCUUCACCACUUAUCCUACAUAUGGGACUAGAGAAGAAAUGGAAGUUGUUUAUAUGAAUGUUAAACAUUUCCAAAUUGUUUAUAUCAUAGCUAUCCUUGUUUGCAAACCAAUAAGAACAAUAUUAUUAUAGAGGUGUUUUAUGAUGAAAAUUUCUGCUGGUGACAUUUGGGUGUCGUCAAUAUUGGUAUUUGGAGGAGAUGUUGGUGAUCAAAGUUAAAGGCCGAGUAAAGGCAUCACGCUAUGAUGUUAUUUUUUACCUGAGGGAUUUUCUUAACAAACUCAUGCUAAAUCUAGAACAUGCAAACAACUUUGCAGGUGGACAAUCUUGUAAAGAAAUUUCAAGGGCAUGUUUGUGUGAGGGGUAUUACUUUGGUACGUGUUGGUAACUACAUACCUAAUUGUUACAAGAAAAAUCUCAUCCAAACAAGCCCUAAGGACAUUAUGGACCUUGCUACUGCAAAGUUGGUAAGUCGAAAAUACGACAGGAUGUCUGAUUGAUAUGUAGGACCUGGACCCACAUGUCAUUCUCACAGCGAGUCGCACUAUUUCAAAUGUCAACUUUGUGGUGGCAUGGUUUCAAUUUUCCCAAUAAGAAACUAGAUACAAAUAGCAUAGAUGAACAGCACUUACCCUUAGUAGUAUUUGAUUUGGUGAAAUUGGUAUAGUUUGCUUGUCCACAAUAAGGUUCCCGGUAAAUGUAUAAAGUGAAUUGUUUGGCUGUUCGCAUUGUAUUUCACCUGUAAGCCAUGAAACAUACAGAUAAUGUGAAGUUAAGAAAAUGUAGAAUAGUUAAGUGAAGUUCAGAAAAGGAGCAAUGCUUCCUACACCAACUACCGAAAAAUGUCUGCAACAUGGAACAAGAAUAGAUAAAAACCUUUGAAUUCAGAAGCCUUUUCAGGAAUUACGCAGUCCCAGGUUUUCUCCAAAGCCUUCCUUAUUUUCAGGUUAGUUUCCCCAUCAAGAUUUGCUGUCUAAGGUAAAUAGAAGUAUGAUACACUUCAAUUAAAACAGAGUUUCUCUAAAUCAUUCAAUAAUUUCAAUUUGGACAAAAGAUGGAGAAGGUAAGAAUGAAUAUAUUGACCUCUAUGUAGCAGACACCAUCAGGGUUCGUACUUGAUAGGAAGAGCAAGUCAGAAGGAAAGUAAGUGUCUUGCUUGAUCUGCUCUAAAGAAGUGCCAUCACUAUUAGUCUUUUUGGAUAUGUGUAUCGAGCUGAAGAUUAAAUUUGCACAGCACAAAAGAUCAAGUGCAUUAAUUUGUGGAAGCAACAGAUCAAUUGAAUUGAUCAUCAAAUUGCUAUCAGGAAAGAUGAAGACAUUACCCUCACAAUAUCUCCAACCUGCAGUCUUUUCCAAGGGGCACUUUCCCAUUUUUGACCUUGCAAUACAUCGACGUGCGCAUUAUUAAUUGACAUGUCAUUCUGGAAACGUUUCUGUAUAAUGGGAGGCAAACAAAAAGGGAAGAAUAUCAGAUAACAUUAAGAAUAGCAAUAAAAUAGUGGAGCAACAGAGCAUGAGAGCAAUACUAACCCAGUCCUCAAAAGCUUCCUUGAUGAGUGAAACCAAAAGCACUAAACUAAGUGGAACCACAUUGGUGACAGGGUGGACUGGACUGCGAAGAUACAAGCAUGUAUGAACUAAGAUUUCUAGAAGUAAAGGUGAAGGAAAGCAAAGGAUGACUGAAUCAACUGAUGGACUUGAUAUGCUAAGAAGUGUCUAGCUGUAACAUGAGAAUUCCAUAGGGUGCAUGCAUGAGAGAGAGAGAGAGACCUAAUUGGUGUAGUCGACAAGAUUGAAAUCAUAAGAAAGUAAAGAUUUGCCACCCGUCUGAACUGUCAAAGCAAAAAAAAAAACAAAUGAAUUACAAAAGGUUCCUAUGGUCAAAUUGCGAUAAUACAGAAAGGGAACAUCUAAAUCGGUGUUACAGCUACCAUUGCAAAGUUUCUUUAUUCGAUAUGGAAAAAUGCAUUACAUGUUUAAUGUAUGAAGCCAUUGAAAUACUUUAAUGUACCUUACGUAAAAAACAGUGGAUAAUGAAAUUGCCAGAAUUAUGGUAUCGCAUAAAAUGAAGGUUACAUUGAGCGAAAAGCAUGAUCAGGGCUUUACCAAAUAACAAAAUCAUACUUCUCCUUUUCUCAAUAUAUGGCAUUUUAGGUUUCAUUGAAGACAAGUCUUUGAAAAGGAUUUACUUUGUGUUGUUUUUAAGGCAUGAAAUUUAUAUCACUAGAUUCAUCCUCAAAAGUACUUAAUGUGGAUUCAUAUCAUAUAAAUCACAUAUUAAUGAAGUAAUUCUUGGUCAAAGUCUUGUAUUAACGAAACCUAAUAUGUCCUGUAUUGACAAAAUGAGGGAGUAUAUUAUCUAACAGUGCAUGUAUACAGGCACGAUACUGGUAGCGCGUAUUACAAGCAAGGUAUCUUAAAAACAUUGCAACACAGUGCCAGACCAGGUAAGCAACUAAGCAUCUCAUGUAUCCACUAUUUUAAGGGAAGUUGAUCCAGAGUGAGGAAAUAAACAUUUUUAAGGAGAUAUAUCAAUUUGCAAUGUGAAAAUGAUACGGAGUAGUAUAAUCAUUUCACUGUGAUAACAAAUACUCCCUCCGUUCUAAAUACUUGUCGCUGUUUUAGUGCAAACUAAAACAGCGACAAGUAUUUAGGAACAGAGGGAGUAACUUCCAUUUACCGUUAGACAUGAUACAAAAUAAUAUGUUGAAAAAAAAUCUAGCCAAAAACUAAAAAACAAACAGAAAAUCUGCAUUAAACGAUGACAAACCCAGCAGGUAUGUUGAUUAACAAAAUAUGUAUGAACAAAAAACAACGCAUCAAUACCUGUUCAAACAAUCCUUUAGGUAGAAAUGUCAGCACACUGUACUUUGUAGUCGACACAGAAUUUCCCUGGAAAUGUAGAAUGAGAAUGUUAAAGAACUAAUUCUAGCAGAAAAACAAAGUAGCGCUCUGCAUUAGAAUCGCGAUGGUCUGAUACCCAACAUGAGGGAGAUUCUGAAACUAAACAGAAGAGCUAAUUGCAACUAGAAGCAUGAAAAAAGUAUAGCUUGAUCUUUUUACAACAUCAAGUCUGAAUACAUUCAAGCAUUUACACUAACUUGGAACAAAAUGUGGGUGUCAAAGAAAAUGCAUGAAUACACCUACUUACAAUAAAGCACCAAUUUUGCAGUGAUUGGACAAACUAUGGUUAAAAUACUUAAUAAUAGAGUUCUACGUAUUUGGAGGCAUAAAACGCAUUGCAGUUGGAGCAGUGGCAUUAUCAUGUUAGUCAGUCUAACAUGGCAGUGAAUGACGUGAAUUUUUUGCUAGUUUAGACCUCUGGCCAGCGCAAUUGACAAAAAUGCCCCCCUCUCAAAACUAAUGCCAAAAAUGGUCUGGCAGAAGGCCCGAAAGGCGCCACAUUUCAUUUUUCGCCAUCUGAGCUGCGCAUGCAAACAUUCCGACAACCUGAAAGGCGGAAAGGCCGUUCCGCCUACUGCAUUUGAUGAAUGCACCUGACAAGGGCGGAAGGUGAACUGGGCCCUGCAGAUGGAAGCAAUUUCCACAUUUGUUACAGACCUGGAAUCUUUUUUUUUGUUGGAGUCGACGGACCAUGUAUGUGCGGAUGCAUAGGAAUCGGCAAGCAGCCUAGCUGCUAGUUCACGGGCACGUUUUACAUUUUCUUUCCUCAGGUUUGGCUAGUGCUACCACGUUGAUACUAAUCAACGCUUCUUGUGAAUGGGCUUAGUUGCUUCUACUAGUCGUGCGAGCGUUAAUCUUUUCUCUGUGCGCCUGCAUGUGCGGGCGUGGGAAUCGGGUCAGGUCCCUGCAGACAGCACGCCUGGCUGCACUGGGCCUGCUUCAGCUUCCGCCCCUGAAAAUUCACUUUCGUCCAUUUCAACUGGAAACAAGUAGGCUCCACCUGUCCUGUUGGCGGAAAGUUCAUUCCUCCUACCCAGUGGCCACUGGGUCAGUUGCUGGGCUUUCCACCACGUCAUUUUUCAAAUUAUAUUUCAGAUGGAGCUAUUUUUGCCAAUUCCGUUUGACAAGGGGCUACAAGAGCAAAGAAAUUGAAUGACAUAGCAAGCAAUCAAUUUCCCCUUAUAGGUAAAUAAUAAACAGCUUUGCUUCAGCUUACUGUCAUCAGCUGGUGGCUGACUGCCCUGACCAAACACAAGUUCAGUAAUCUACACAGCAAGCGGCACACAGGUGCAGCUAAGCACAUGGAUGAACAGAAUAUUCCAGCCAUUGAGGCUCAGCUCUCGAAGCUUAAUGCCAGGUGGCAUCUACAUUGUAUUGCAGCCCGUAGCACCCUGAUUGACUAGUAACCCAACAAUGAGACAAGCUCUAAUCCACCCAAUGACCUCACAGUUGGCAAGAAAUGCAGCCCUUAGUGACACGCACCACCCUACAUAACUUUCUCGUGGACUAAUCAGUAUGAAUCAUAUAAACCCUCUGCAAGCUGCAGUGAAAUAAAACUACUACUACUGAACUAGCUAUUGUCCCAGAUGGCCAUCUCCAACCCAACCGCCCAAGCAUGAAACAAGGGGCCAGUUACGAGAUCUAGGCCUACAGACCCCUAGACCUUGAGACAACCGACCUGUUGAUCAUCCGAAUUAGAGGAGGAGGUGCACACCCGUACCUUGUACCCGACCGGCGCGUUGGCUUCGCGGUCGUUGCAGUAGAUGGUGCGCACGGUGGGUGCCUGCGGCUGCGGCUGCCGUCGGAGGCUGCCGCCCCCGCCGCCGAGACGCGCCGUCCUGGACGCCUCAGCGCGGCCGGCCUGAGAGGUCCCCCCCCGCGGCGACUGCUCGCCGCCCAGCCGCGCGGUGGCAACCCGCAUCAUCUCCUUUAUGCGCGAGCUCAUCCUGCCCCCCUCAGCGCCAAACCCAGCGCUGGAGGAGCCGGCGGGAGAUCUGGGGAAACCUCACGGUGGAUCGGAGGGGAGACCUAGUCGGAUUUGCGCGGCUUUCUGGUGGAUUUCAGUGCCUCGCUGAGGAGGGGAUUCGAUUUGGGUCACGCGUUCCCGUAUGUGCGUAUUUUUUCCGUGUAAUUUUUUUGUUUUGCCUUUUUCUUUUCCUUUGGCUCCGGGAGAAGAGAAGACAGGAGGGGAAGGAAAAGCGAAGGUCGCGACUUCGCGAGGAAGAAAAUGAAGGGAUUACUGCAGAUCACACCCUUGAUUAUUUUCGAAUAUGGAAAGCUCCAGUAACUGAAGUUUGAAAUUCCAGCCGCGUUUGUCUUUUCCUUCUUCGAGCAAACAACCGUGUUCUUGACUUGUUCUAUGUUUUUGCUGUCCGGAGGACUACCCGAUUUGCAAGUAAAUAAUGGCAUUAAUUUCAUAUAAGCACUUUAGGACACCACACUUGACAUGGUUUUCUACUGACGACGACUAUAUGGUGGCUUUGAUGUUCCAUGAAUAGAUCUUUUUAGCGGUGUUUCAAGUUCAGGUGUUAUAACAAAGCAUUACUCUUGACCUAUCUUCCCUUGCGACCAUGCUUUUUGAAUCGCCAAGUCGAGUCGAAUCGCCCCCCAACAGACUUGGAGGUUAGUAUGAUUAGUCAGAAACUAGUCUCGACUAAUCAACCCAAGUCGAGCCUAGUGAUCAGUGAGGUUUAGGGAGCUCUAGCAGGGAGCAUUAGAGGAAAGGAGUGAAUUGCAGUAGAGGGGAAGCACGAGGGAACAGUUUUUGUGGUGCUGGAGCUUGAAGAAGAGGUUCAUGGCGGCUAGGAUCUAGGAGUCGAUAAACUUAGAACGCCCGUGUUGAGGCAAACGCGUUGAGGAAGACGACUUCAAAGGUGGUUGGCUCAUUAUCAGGAUAGGUGCGUGCCUGGCAGCCCAUAAAGGCCUAUUAGAAAACCCUAACUCCCCCCUCCCCCCCCCCCCCACACACACAUUGCCUUCUUCUACACCACACACGCACCAAUGGCGGCCAUCUUCUUCCCCUUCCCUGCUGCUCCCCAUGCCUUCUCUCCCUCCCCGAAAAGAAAUAUCUUCCGAAAAUUCUUCUCUUCGAGUCAAGUUGAGGGGCUCGCGGCGUUCCUAGUCACGGCGGCUAGUCGGAGAAGUCGCGGUUCUAGCUGACGAGUCGCGCGACUUGCUCUGCUAGUCGAGUCGCGGCUGCAAGCCGCCAUCAUUGUGCUGGCUCGGCGACUAGUUGGCGAUUCAAAAACCAUGCUUGCGUCUUAUAAUUUUGUUUCCUCUUAGAUUUUUUUCAAUUAUGUAUGGAACUCUUUUAAGCUUGGCUAACAUAUUGGGUCAAUUUGUCUCCCAUUGAAAAAAAAACAAUUUCCUAUAAAAAAUAAAGUAUCCACAAAACAAUAUGCAUAGCGCAGUUGUUUUCAAAGUUGUGGAUGAAACUUUGUGUUGUACAGGCAACCACUUAAUAACUUGUUCGGUUGUAGAAUUCCCCGCAUGUAUUGAAGAGGAUUAAGAGAGAUCUAAGGAAAAUUGAUCUGCAAUUCGAUCAUUCCCUCUUAAUCCCCAUCGGAGUGGAAUCAACCGAACGGGGCUAAUGUGGACCAUAUCACCUUGAGGACUCCAUUCUUCUUUUAUGGCAACGUUGCAUGGACCUUGAUAUGAACGCACGUGCCUGCAAUCUCUAUUAUUUUUUCGUAAAUAGCAACUGUCCUUUCUGUAUCUUGUAAUAUGUUUUCUACAAUUUUAUUUGGGAUAUUUCGUCAAGAACCCAAAUCGAUUACAUUUUCCACUUUGGCGAAUGAGUCAAGAUUCUCCAUGUGUUCCAGCGAGGCAACUGCGAGCUACACAUGUAUGGUGAAACAAGCCUCGCAACUUCGUAAGUAACUCCAAAACUACAUCAGCACGUCUCUUGAACUUUGGAAACACACAGACGUGUUCCACGACCGUGAGGCGACGGAGUUAACGGGGCAGCGUUGCCGGAAAGACAAGAGUACCGUAACAAGGCCCAGACUGGGCUGCAUCGGCGUUCUGCCUCUAUUACAAGCGAGAGAUGUUGAACCGGCCAAGGUUAGGCAAGGCAGUCAGCGGGAGGAUUUUUUUUUUUUUGUUGUUGGUUUUGAAGAGGCGCGGGAGGAGAAGAACUUGCUUGACCAGCCCACAAGAUCGUGAACCGGUAUGACAUUGACAUUUUAUUUAGGGCCAGUAACGUGUAAUUAGAAGUACUAGCUUACAUCUCUUCCUUUUUGAACCGUCAGAUCUGCAACCAUAUCAUCUCUCCCCUUUGUCCUCUUCGCUAUGCCGAUUUUAGUGAAACGCCGCUGCCAAAUCUUCACAGGAUUGUGAACCGGCAGCAGCUUCGACCCUUCAAUAUUAUUAUUACAGCUAAAUAAAAGACUGAAAUUAUAGGUGAGGUCCUUUGUUCUAAUCGCCCAAGCGAGCAGAAGCCAAGAGAUUACGUGCAAGCAUAGCAUGGCCAUGUUCGCCAACUCAUGACAUAGUGGCACAGGGACUAACCACCUGGAUUACAUGGCUAGCUUCCAUAUAUGUGCAACAAAAUAUUGGUACCAGGCAGCCAUCUGUGCCACCAACCAUAAACUCCCUGAUCCCAAAAAAUACAAAAUACCAAGAGUUUCCACCCACAUCAGUACAAGUGCACAACAGUUUAAGAGACAAGCCAAGGAUCAUUCCCAGUUUGUGGGAAUAAAUAAGAGUCCGCAGCAAACAGAAAACUCAAAAUCGCUGGCAAAGUUAGGAUGUGGAAAAAAGAAAGGCUUAAAAUGAUCUAGCCAUGGCGUCAGAAUCUAUUAUCAAUGUUUCUCUCUCAAGGAUUUCCCUUCUAUAUAAAGUAUAAUAUUACAAAGGGGCUGCUUAAAUAUCAUGGACUCCUGGAAUGUAAAGAGGGUAAUAAUCAACACUACAUGAGCCUCCUUUUUCCUGAGGCUGCUUCCUAAGACUGACUGACUGCUUCCCCGAGGAUCCACAUACACCCUCCCCUCUCCUCAAGUUCCACCUCCCACCAUGGAAGUUAAACCCCCACCAUGGAUCCGAUGCUAACCAACUGUACGCGACCUGGAGAAAGUCAGUCAGCUUGGUGGUUCAAUCAAGACAGAGCAUCACGAUAUUGCCCAAAUGGUAUAAUUGGCAGGAUCAAUAAGUAGUUUAUGCUCGCAGCAAGAUCCAAAAGAACCAAUCUACCAUGACUAAUGUAUGACAAGAAUGAUGUCUUAUGUCUACUUUCAGAUACACUAUGGUCCAGGUGAAACAAUAUUUUAAAGUUUAGUAAUUACUGGCAGUAGUAGACAGACCACAGAAGUGUAAAGAUAUUUGCACACAUGACCUUUUAAUCCAAGGCUAACCCAACCUUGUAAGCUACGUGCUGUUUGUGCUAACGCUGCUGCUUGAAUGCAAUUAGACAGUGGUGAUGUCCUUGUUAGUCUGUUACAUACCUAAGGCAUCACCUCCUGAUUCUAGGUUUGCACCGGAACUCUGCUAAGAGCGCUAUGUGAUCUGAUGACCAUUCAGGUGAAGGAAGAGCAGUGUCUUUUCUUAAGCUCUCCUCAUCCAGAAGUUCCAACAAAGACUCCACGGUCAACGAAUCCGCUGAAACAAUAAAGGAAACAUGAUCAACUGACCAUAAUCAAACAUAUCACAAUACUACAAGCUGAUUCUGAAGCAAUUCCCAGAAGUCUAAAUACAGCAUACAGGUCAGGUACCUACCUGUGUAAAAUAUAUAAUCAACAGUUCCAGUGAAAUCCCUUGUGCAAUUUGUGAAAAGUGGUUCAUUUGUUCCUGGAUCCAUCCUCCUUCGCUGGUGCUCUAAAUCAUAGCCAACACCUACCAUUCUUGCAAAUGAAGAAUAUGCACUGACCUGCAAACAAGUAAACAUUGGUCAGAAUUUUAAAGGAAGAACAAGAUAGACAAGCUUGAUAGUUUUACUGUACCAGAGGAAGCUGGUGCGUCAACUUGCUCACGGGGCGUAAAAUUGAAAGUGGGUCUAUGGCCAGAUCUGGAUGCAAUUGAUCAACUUUGCCCACCGCAAGAAGCCCAUGUGGAGUACUGAAAGACAAAAGGAAGCACUUAGAGAUUUAAAGUUAGAAAAAACAAGUAAACCUGAAAAAUAUUGCUCCAAUAGAAUCUUGACAUGCACCUCCCCGGGAUUGAAUUGAAAUCCCCACAGACCAACAUUGGAAUGUCUGCACUGUUGGCUAUUUUCUCCAAUCCUUUUAGUAGUGUUUGAACCUGCAAAAAACAUACUUACUUUCGAUCUGAAUUUUUCAGAUGUUGCAGAAUGCUAGCCUACAGAGAAUGUGACAAUACUGACCUCCCAUAGUUUCACAUCUUUGAGGUCUUGGUGGACAUUUACAUGUGUAUUGGCCUGAAAUUUGAGAUCAUUUAAAAGAAUGAGACCUCCAUGACUCCAAGUAGCAUAAGCCUAGGCCGUAUGAACAAUGGGAAAUCUGUAGUAAAGUUGGCCUCAAAAUCUAGAGUCUAGAGAGCCAAGUCCCAAUCAUCCGCCAUUAACAUAUAGAUGUUUCCGUGCAUCUUAUGCUACUAAGGUCAUCCUACACAGAUAUAUGUUUCACUUCAUUCCUAAAUGUUGUGAGCAAAGAAGGAAAAGAAUCCAUAUGUUGUUCUGCACUAUGCUGCUAGCAGUUCAAUAGCUAAACAUACGGGAAAGUCCACUUUUGGCCCCUUAACUAUUGCCUCAGAUCAAAAUCAUCUAAUUUGCACCCUCAACUAUCAAAAGCAUCCAAGUUACAUCUGAAGGCAAUAUUUGUUAGAGGCUUUGUGUGAUGUGGCAUCCAUGUCAACGUGUUUUGCCACAUCAAUCGCUGCUGGGCAGUAGGGCCCACAUAUCAUGGCUGCCGUGCCCCUUCUUUCUUUAUAAUUCUUCCUCCUUAGCCAUGCCAUGGCCUCCUCUGUAGGCUAUAGCUUCCACUGCUGCUGCUACAGAUAACCCAUGUUUGACGUUGCAUAACAUCUUCUGAUUUAGAGAGGGGUAUCCUGACAGACAUGUACCAGUCUCCGCAAACCGCUGCACGGCUGCAUCCUGAGGGGAAUGGACAAAGAGAGGAUUAGAGAGGAAGGCUGAGGAGGGAGGCGUUUAGGGCGACUCCAACACGGCCACCCAAAUCGGACACAAAAAGUGUGUCCGUUUGGGUCUGCUGGUGCCCCUAACACGGUCACCCAUUUGGUCCGUUUUAUUAUUUAGUAUUGGCCACGGAUAGGCGGGCCAGGGCAAGGACAAGGGAGGACAAGCGCAGUGUCCACCCGCUGUCCGCCCAGACACAAACCCGGUCAGAUUUGGGUCGGCAAUGGGUUGAGCUGGACAGAAAAGCAGACAGCCGCCACACCGGACGAAAUGGGUCGCCGCGUUGGAGUCACCCUUAAUGCUAAGCUGGGAAAGAGGAAGGGAACAGAAAUAAGAGGAUGAGGACAAGGGAGGGAGAAAAGGGUGCUUCCAAAAAAUCAAUCCCAGGCAUGUGGGGCCUACUGCCCAGUGGAGAAUGAGAUGUCAAAGUUGCUGAUUUGGCGGCUACAUACAGAAUAUCACUCAUGAAACCAGCUUCUGGUCCUAUCGAACGGUUUCAUGAGUUGAUGGUUCAAUUUAGACCAGGCAAAAGUUGAGGGAUCAUAAUUAGGCUUUUCCAAACAUAAAUGAAUGUCAUGCUGUAAAAGUAGUGUUCGUCAUCCAGUAAACUGGUUCGAAUAUCCAACAAGCGCACAACUACUUUAUACACAUCUAAAGAAAGAACAGCUAUUUACAUACCACACAAAGGAGCUGCCUUUUACCAGGAGUUUCAGUUCCUUGGUUGCCAAAUUUUGCUUCUAAAACCGCAAUCAGCGCAAUAUUAUCCUUCAAAGCAAAUAGAACGUGUGAUAAAUAACAUCACUUUUUUUUGCGAAAAGUGAUAAAUAACAUCACUGUAGCAUACAUUAUUUCUUUUGAAGUUAAUCUUACUUUAAUCAGUCGACUUAAAGCCACUCUUUUCUGGGAAGCUGGAAUAAUAGCUUCUGUUAAAGACUGUGCAGCCUUAUUGAACUCAACCUACACAAGCAAGUACAAGUAUUAGAUAGCUGCAAAUAUCAAGCUGCUGCAAACCUGCAGUACAGGUACCUCGUAUUUUUUGACAUGUGAAAAUCUAUCUCUACGGAAGAAAGUAGCACAGCCAUCAAUGGCAUUAGGAACUCCAGCAUACACCUGUGACAACAGUAAAGUAAAAUCAAACAAGAGACAAAAGGUAUUAAACCAAAAUAUGAAGGAAAAAAUCAACCCAAAGAUACCUCUGUUGUCCGUUUCUUGUAAAGCGCCUGAUACCCAUGUUUAUCAAACUCAGGAGCAAAAAAAUCCUCAAAGUGGUUCAAUUGUACCUGAAAACAGUAGGACUUGGCUUAAUUCCCUCCUGUUACAAUCUUCGGUCACUCUUCGUUUUUAUUGUAAGCCGCUUCAGUAAACUCUUCAUAAUAUAUAUGCAGACAAUAUUCGUGAAAGUUUAAACAGCAAGCAAACUAUCAUAAAUUCAUAAUCCAACAUCACUGAAAAGUGAAAACAAUCAAACAAAGUGAUGGCACAAAUAUGGAAACGAACAGCCCAGCAGUAUAUGAAAGAUUGUAGGUUGAUGAACAGGGUUCCGGCAUUAAAGUUUACCGAGUCGCAAAAAUUAUAUGAUCAACCAAAUGAGACAUGCUCGGUUCCUAAAACAAAUAUAUGAGAUGAAAAGCUGAAAAUAGGUCACCAAAAUAAAUAAAUUCAGAAGAUAGCAAACAUAUGAUACCUCCUGAAGACAUAUAAUAUCAGCAUGAUAACCAAUAAUUUCGCGCAUCAAAUUUUGUCUUCUGUAAGUCCAUGAAAGUGCCCACGUUGGGCAGUAGCUAUAUGCAUCAGAUGUAGCAUAUGCAUCAGCAAGAAUAUUAUAGGACAGCACCGUGAAUGUCCCAAAAGAAGAAGUCUGGCUGUCUAUAUCUGAGUGACCCAAAACAUCUCCAUUCACUUGGAUAAGGCGGCGUGGAGUAGGAGUUGGUGCUGGAAUCACACGUGAUGUCAUAAUUGAAGUUGGAGACCCCGCAGGUACUUUCUUUUCCGUAUCCACCGCUGCACAUUCAAAUCUUAGAACAUGCCCAAUAUCAUCAGCAGUUGGUGUAUACGUCUGCGAGCGUCCCACUUCAAACCAUGUUUCACCCGAGUUCUUAUCAGUGCCUGAGGGAUACAAGGGAACAGGUCCAUUAUUAACUCCAGGGCUCUGUCCAAGAUUUGACAUUGAGCCAGACCCAGAACUUAGAAUCCCAGAACUACCGCUGCCAAAUCUACCAAAUAGCUCCUCCUCUUCAGCUCCAUUUUCAUUUAAAGCACUACUAGCUCGCUCAUGCAAAACCCUGUGGUGCUGCCAUGCAUCAGAGAAGCACUUAGCAGAACAAUGGUAGCUCUUAGCAGCAGGUAUUUUUGACUUGAGACAACCUAAGCACUGAAUUGUUGCUUGCUCCAUCGGAUGUACACUGCAGAUAGUAACUUUUCGAUCACUCUGUAUGCGAUACCUUCGAGCGAAAAGUCAAAUCAGUAUAACCAUGUGCUACUAGAUACAGAAAAAGUUUAGAAGAACAUGAUUGAAUAUAGUAACUACAAGAAAGGACACCUAAAUUGCCAAUGUUUUAGCAUGUAUGAGAUCCAGGAAAACUUGCUAUCAGCAUCUUGGAAGUCCAUUAUUCAGAGACAUUAGACUCACAACACUUCCAUUAUAAGCAUAGUAUGAAUAAGGCAAAAUGAAGCAGGUUGCCAAGAUGUCGCAAAAAAAAAGAAGCAAAUUACAAGUUUGCUUGUCAUGAGUUGCUGCUGCUGUUGUUUUUUCUUGAUUUUAGUCCCUCAACCGGCUAACUCGUGAUCAUUCAUCUCUUGCUUUCUUUACCAGAUCAACCAUGCAACUGAUUUCUUUAGCGGACCAGGCAAUAUAUGUAAUAAGCAAAAUUCUACAGUUUAGAUCAGAGAUUCAGAGGACUAUUGCAGGCUCUCAUAUAUCAUCAUUAGGGCAUGACGACCAGACAAGGAAGUUGCUGUGUAUAUUAUUAUUCCUAGAAGAAAAACAUUUAAGUACUGUUCAAGGAGGCGACCAACUAUAGCCCAGUGCCCACCCCAUCAAUCGAUUAGUGUCUUUCAGAACACUUCAUUUCAACAAUGUGUCUAUAAAUGGCCACACUUACUAUACUCAAACCUCAAACCUUAAAAGUGAAUAAAGAUGCACAUAUCACAUGAGAUUCUAUCAAGCUAAUGACUGAAAAGCAACACAAUGAAAAUAUAAAAAACUAUAGAAUUGAAGGACCAAAACCAAUGAAACUGCAUGAGUGUUAGUGGGACCAAGCACCACCAUUUCGAAAAGUUCUAAGGUCUAAAGUCUCAGCAAUAAAUGCUAUUUAAACCUACAUGACAUUAAAAAAACGGAUGUGAUAAAACAAAUAAAUAUUCACGAACAUGAUCAAUCAUUCAGAGCGGGAUUCUAAAAUUGAUCACUGAAAUUGUUCGGCCACCCAGCUAUUAGUGAUUAUACAGCCGAGCUAGCUCAUUGCAGUGGGUGGCAUAACCAGCGGUUACAAGUUCUUUUCUCUCAUAUUUGCCUCUCCAUUUUUCAUUUUUUUAUUUCCAAAUAGAUCUACAAUGUUAUUUGAAUUUUAAAAAUAAUAGGUAGGGCACUCCUUACAUACAUGACCUCCUAGGCCAUUUAAAACAAAUAUGCAUUGUUUGGGGUUUUUUAUAUAACAUAAAGUAAGUUAACUAUGACACACUGCCAAAAUAUUUUUGCAUAAAAAACAUUAAAUUUGAUAUAGCACAGAAAGAACGUGGAUAUCCAGCAAGAGAUUAAAGAAGGCAAAGUGGGGCAGGCAGUCAGCAAAACAAAACUAGUGGAUCACGAGUUUCAAACUUUUACUAGCUUUAAGCAACUGAAAUAACUUGCCACUGAACCUAGUGAGCCAACAACUCUAACGUGUAAUAGCAAACAAGUAAUAAUUCUUUUGAAGCUCCAGAAUAAUCAAAACUGAGUCUAGAAUCAAGCUAGAAUGCCCAUUUGAGUUCACUGGUGAUGUUAGAGUGAUACUUAGUUCAAGGAGUAUAUCCAGAUACCCCAAUCAAAAAAAUCAUCUGAAGCCAUGCGAACAAACUGAUGGCACUUCUAGAAUAGUGUCUUUCCACAAAAUUAGUUAGAUAAGCCUAUGUAAUCCCAAAAUUUAUAAAAUGCUCCCGUUCCAUCCAAGAUGAACGUAAACAUUCCUGCACAACGAUUGGCAACAAUCCUCAACCCAACAGCCUUCAUCACCAUCCUAUGAUGCUAUCUAACACUCAAUAGUUCUAGCAAAACCAAAAUCAGAUGGUCUGUUUUGCUCAAUGAAUUACUUAUUAUCAUUACCAACCCGUGUGGCAGGUUGAUAUGGCAUAGACUAAAUAGUAUGAUUCAUAAACAGGCUUAAAAUAAUGCAAUACUGAGUUCUUUACCAAAUCAAGCAUUGGCAUUUCAUGUUCCCUGGGUUUCCAUUCGUUCCAAAAACAAACAACUGUCUUGCUAGAGAAAAUCAUGCUCAGAAUUCAUAUAGUUGUGCUUCAUUUAUGCAAGAAUCAAGACGAUUCAUGAGUUUAGCAAGUAGUUAAGCAUCUAGCAAACUGAUUGAUACUUAAAGCCCCCAUUUUCUUUUUUUCUUUUUUGUCAAAAUUCACUUGUAGCAACGCACAAGCGGAACUAAGCAUUCGAAAGUGUAUAUCCUAUUGAACCAAAAGUUGCAAUCACGAGCUGCUCACUCACCAUCUGUAUCGCAUGAAGUGGCCAUCAACAGGCGCGGCCUCAGGCACGUCGUCGGUGGAGAUUACACCGUUGGGCAGCCGCAGCAGCACGUACGGGGUGAUUUCGCACCCCACGAUCGGGAUCUCCGACGGCAGGUGCACCCGCACC